ACCGGCGGAGGGCACCGAGCGCCCGGGGAGUCCGUGCUCCUCUCCUGCCGCGGGUCCGGCUUCACCUUCGAGAAUCAUUAUGUUCGCUGGUACCGUCAGGCACCCGGAGUGGGGGUCGAGUGGCCUUUCCCGAGUGCAGACAAAGGCCUCAGGCCCCACAGGAGGGAAGAUGUCAGAGUCUGUCUGGCUUACCUGUCACAUCUCUGGUGUCCCCAUCACCGACAGCAGCUACGCGUGGGACUGGAUCCGGCAGACUCCUGGCAAAGAGCUGCAGCACAUAGUGCUGCAAUAUCCUUUCACUGGGCUCCAGCACGUGGCUUCAUCCUUCCAGACCCGAGUCACCAGCUCUGCAGACCCCUCCAGGAACCAGCUGUUGCUGGAAGUGCUCUCACCAACAGCUGCAGACACGGCCACCUAUUUCUGCAGCACUCGAGAACUUGAAAAGGGCACAGUGCUUGAAACACAGGCAGGGCCAGGGCAGAACUGGAAGGAGGGGCUUUAAUCCAGUGGGGUCUUUUGGGGUUGUUGCAAGGCAAGACUCUUCCCAGACUUCUCAAGACUAGUCUAGUCUGUCUUUUCCCAGAAACAGAUGCAAUAGUAGCAAUAACAGCAGCAGUCUCCCACAAGCACACCCCAAACCAUGAACAUGUUGUUAACUUAUCACUUCCUUCUCAGUAUCUCCCACAGGCAGAAAGAGCCAGGGAAACAGGGUAUUUGGGGAUUUUUGUUUGUUUGUUUGUUUGUUUGUUUGUUUGUUUGUUUUUAUUAAAUAAUGUGCUGGUUCU
Non-coding RNA from Neopelma chrysocephalum (saffron-crested tyrant-manakin), 785 nucleotides. The record is from the annotation of a RefSeq genome assembly. Lineage: Eukaryota; Metazoa; Chordata; Aves; Passeriformes; Pipridae.